This 490-nucleotide ribosomal RNA is filed under the name uncultured bacterium. RNAcentral's name for it is "partial 16S ribosomal RNA". It matches the Rfam family "Bacterial small subunit ribosomal RNA", at positions 30 to 507 of the family's 1533-position model. The record is from RNAcentral.
AUUGAACGCUGGCGGCAGGCCUAACACAUGCAAGUCGAACGGUAACAGGAAGAAGCUUGCUUCUUUGCUGACGAGUGGCGGACGGGUGAGUAAUGUCUGGGAAACUGCCUGAUGGAGGGGGAUAACUACUGGAAACGGUAGCUAAUACCGCAUAACGUCGCAAGACCAAAGAGGGGGACCUUCGGGCCUCUUGCCAUCGGAUGUGCCCAGAUGGGAUUAGCUAGUAGGUGGGGUAACGGCUCACCUAGGCGACGAUCCCUAGCUGGUCUGAGAGGAUGACCAGCCACACUGGAACUGAGACACGGUCCAGACUCCUACGGGAGGCAGCAGUGGGGAAUAUUGCACAAUGGGCGCAAGCCUGAUGCAGCCAUGCCGCGUGUAUGAAGAAGGCCUUCGGGUUGUAAAGUACUUUCAGCGGGGAGGAAGGGAGUAAAGUUAAUACCUUUGCUCAUUGUCGUUACCCGCAGAAGAAGCACCGGCUAACUCCGUG